UUCCGUUGUGAAUGAAAGACCUUAUUGGCGAAGGAUGCACCAGUUGAUGUUGUGGCUCACAACUUAAACUUUUUGUAACUCUGUAGUUUUGUGACUUGUAAUGGCCAUAAUAUUGAUAUGAAUGAAUAACUGGUAACGUUGCAAUGAUCAAAAAUGUAUCCAUUUCUACAGAUAAAUACAUUGUAUAAUUCCGAGUUGAUUUGCUUUCAAUAGCACUCGUCCAGAGUGCAACCUUAACAACAAAAUUGGGGAAUCACCCACCUUUAGAGCUUAUUUAUUUGUUGCACUACUCG
RNAcentral lists this long non-coding RNA (293 nucleotides) under Lathyrus oleraceus (garden pea). RNAcentral describes it as "Pisum sativum (pea) long non-coding RNA (PSAT_LNC003751)". The record is from RNAcentral. Lineage: Eukaryota; Viridiplantae; Streptophyta; Magnoliopsida; Fabales; Fabaceae.